This 497-nucleotide ribosomal RNA is filed under the name uncultured bacterium. RNAcentral describes it as "partial 16S ribosomal RNA". It matches the Rfam family "Bacterial small subunit ribosomal RNA", at positions 28 to 507 of the family's 1533-position model. The record is from RNAcentral.
GAUGAACGCUGGCGGCGUGCCUAAUACAUGCAAGUCGAGCGAACGGACGAGAAGCUUGCUUCUCUGAUGUUAUCGGCGGGCGGGUGAGUAACACGUGGAUAACCUACCUAUAAGACUGGGAUAACUUCGGGAAACCGGAGCUAAUACCGGAUAAUAUUUUGAACCGCAUGGUUCAAAAGUGAAAGACGGUCUUGCUGUCACUUAUAGAUGGAUCCGCGCUGCAUUAGCUAGUUGGUAAGGUAACGGCUUACCAAGGCAACGAUGCAUAGCCGACCUGAGAGGGUGAUCGGCCACACUGGAACUGAGACACGGUCCAGACUCCUACGGGAGGCAGCAGUAGGGAAUCUUCCGCAAUGGGCGAAAGCCUGACGGAGCAACGCCGCGUGAGUGAUGAAGGUCUUCGGAUCGUAAAACUCUGUUAUUAGGGAAGAACAUAUGUGUAAGUAACUGUGCACAUCUUGACGGUACCUAAUCAGAAAGCCACGGCUAACUACGUG